GUUAAAGGUAGCAGGUUGUACAUGGCGAGCGGGUUACUCACUGAGGGUUGGUGAUUGGUGUAAUGGAAGCCGUCUCUGAACCGCAUUUAAUGACGGAGAACUACAGGAGUGGAGAGAAAACGCAGCACUGAGCAACUUGUAGACUUCACACCCGACUAAUCCCUUCUAUUGUGUGCUGGAAGAUCGCUGGACUUGAAGCAACUCCAAAUGGUGGCCUGUUUGUCCAAAGCCCAGGCUGACCCCCCACCCCUUCAACCUUUGCAGCAAUGCUGGCAGCACUAUUUCCCAAAGACAACCUCUGGAUAUGAC
Ictalurus punctatus (channel catfish) is the source of this 309-nucleotide long non-coding RNA. The record is from Ensembl. Lineage: Eukaryota; Metazoa; Chordata; Actinopteri; Siluriformes; Ictaluridae.